UACGGAGGGUGCAAGCGUUAAUCGGAAUUACUGGGCGUAAAGCGCGCGUAGGCGGCUCUUUAAGUCGGAUGUGAAAGCCCCGGGCUCAACCUGGGAACUGCAUCCGAUACUGGAGGGCUAGAGUGUAGGAGAGGGAGGUAGAAUUCCAUGUGUAGCAGUGAAAUGCGUAGAUAUAUGGAGGAAUACCAGUGGCGAAGGCGGCCUCCUGGCUUAACACUGACGCUGAGGUGCGAAAGCGUGGGGAGCAAACGGG
Molecule: ribosomal RNA, 253 nt
Filed under: uncultured bacterium
Lineage: Bacteria
Description: partial 16S ribosomal RNA
Rfam family: Bacterial small subunit ribosomal RNA
Source: RNAcentral